UACGUAGGUGGCGAGCGUUGUCCGGAUUUACUGGGCGUAAAGAGCGCGCAGGCGGUCGUACAAGUCGCGUGUGAAAGCCCCCGGCUCAACUGGGGAGGGUCACGCGAUACUGUUCGACUCGAAGGCAGGAGAGGGAAGCGGAAUUCCCGGUGUAGUGGUGAAAUGCGCAGAUAUCGGGAGGAACACCGGUGGCGAAGGCGGUUCUCUGGGCCUGUACUGACGCUGAGGAGCGAAAGCGUGGGGAGCGAACAGG
Molecule: ribosomal RNA, 253 nt
Filed under: uncultured bacterium
Lineage: Bacteria
Description: partial 16S ribosomal RNA
Rfam family: Bacterial small subunit ribosomal RNA
Source: RNAcentral